This 1076-nucleotide ribosomal RNA is filed under the name bioreactor metagenome. RNAcentral describes it as "bacterial SSU rRNA". It matches the Rfam family "Bacterial small subunit ribosomal RNA", at positions 8 to 1065 of the family's 1533-position model. The record is from RNAcentral.
AGAGUUUGAUCAUGGCUCAGAUUGAACGCUGGCGGCAGGCCUAACACAUGCAAGUCGAGCGGAAACGAGUUAUCUGAACCUUCGGGGAACGAUAACGGCGUCGAGCGGCGGACGGGUGAGUAAUGCCUAGGAAAUUGCCCUGAUGUGGGGGAUAACCAUUGGAAACGAUGGCUAAUACCGCAUGAUGCCUACGGGCCAAAGAGGGGGACCUUCGGGCCUCUCGCGUCAGGAUAUGCCUAGGUGGGAUUAGCUAGUUGGUGAGGUAAGGGCUCACCAAGCGACGAUCCCUAGCUGGUCUGAGAGGAUGAUCAGCACACUGGAACUGAGACACGGUCCAGACUCCUACGGGAGGCAGCAGUGGGGAAUAUUGCACAAUGGGCGCAAGCCUGAUGCAGCCAUGCCGCGUGUAUGAAGAAGGCCUUCGGGUUGUAAAGUACUUUCAGUCGUGAGGAAGGCGGCGUCGUUAAUAGCGGCGUUGUUUGACGUUAGCGACAGAAGAAGCACCGGCUAACUCCGUGCCAGCAGCCGCGGUAAUACGGAGGGUGCGAGCGUUAAUCGGAAUUACUGGGCGUAAAGCGCAUGCAGGUGGUUUGUUAAGUCAGAUGUGAAAGCCCGGGGCUCAACCUCGGAAUAGCAUUUGAAACUGGCAGACUAGAGUACUGUAGAGGGGGGUAGAAUUUCAGGUGUAGCGGUGAAAUGCGUAGAGAUCUGAAGGAAUACCGGUGGCGAAGGCGGCCCCCUGGACAGAUACUGACACUCAGAUGCGAAAGCGUGGGGAGCAAACAGGAUUAGAUACCCUGGUAGUCCACGCCGUAAACGAUGUCUACUUGGAGGUUGUGGCCUUGAGCCGUGGCUUUCGGAGCUAACGCGUUAAGUAGACCGCCUGGGGAGUACGGUCGCAAGAUUAAAACUCAAAUGAAUUGACGGGGGCCCGCACAAGCGGUGGAGCAUGUGGUUUAAUUCGAUGCAACGCGAAGAACCUUACCUACUCUUGACAUCCAGAGAACUUUCCAGAGAUGGAUUGGUGCCUUCGGGAACUCUGAGACAGGUGCUGCAUGGCUGUCGUCAGCUCGUGU